CUCGGUUUCACCUUCGGCAGCUACGACAUGAACUGGGUGCGCCAGAGCCCCGGGAAGGGGCUGGAAUGGGUCGCUGGGAUCACCAACACUGGUGGUAGCACCGGCUACGCGCCGUCGGUGCAGGGCCGGUUCACCAUCGCCAGGGACAACGGGCAGGGCACGGUGACGCUGCAGAUGAACGACCUCAAGGAGGAGGAUUCCGCCACCUAUUUCUGCGCCAAACGUUACAAUGCUGGUGCUGGCUGGGGUGCUGCUGGUAUCCAACCUUUGGCCCCAAAUCUCAACCGCUGA
Corapipo altera (White-ruffed manakin) is the source of this 291-nucleotide non-coding RNA. The record is from the annotation of a RefSeq genome assembly. Lineage: Eukaryota; Metazoa; Chordata; Aves; Passeriformes; Pipridae.